UGCGUUUGGUACUGGCAAGCUAGAGUGUGGCAGAGGGUAGUGGAAUUCCUGGUGUAGCAGUGAAAUGCGUAGAGAUCAGGAGGAACAUCCGUGGCGAAGGCGACUGCCUGGGCCAACACUGACACUGAGGCACGAAAGCGUGGGGAGCAAACAG
Molecule: ribosomal RNA, 154 nt
Filed under: uncultured bacterium
Lineage: Bacteria
Description: partial 16S ribosomal RNA
Rfam family: Bacterial small subunit ribosomal RNA
Source: RNAcentral